RNAcentral lists this small RNA (29 nucleotides) under Bombyx mori (domestic silkworm). RNAcentral describes it as "ovarian small RNA-28137". The record is from RNAcentral. Lineage: Eukaryota; Metazoa; Arthropoda; Insecta; Lepidoptera; Bombycidae.
UCGAAAGGGUGUGGGCGCGUGGGCGUUUU